RNAcentral lists this non-coding RNA (23 nucleotides) under Xenopus tropicalis (tropical clawed frog). Lineage: Eukaryota; Metazoa; Chordata; Amphibia; Anura; Pipidae. RNAcentral also lists the same sequence under 2 other names. The record is from RNAcentral.
UGGGUUCGAGCCCCACGUUGGGC